Molecule: small nuclear RNA, 191 nt
Organism: Sorex fumeus (smoky shrew)
Lineage: Eukaryota; Metazoa; Chordata; Mammalia; Eulipotyphla; Soricidae
Product: U2 spliceosomal RNA
Exons: 1
Source: RefSeq, a predicted model, not a curated record
AUUGCUUUGUGGCCUUUUGACUAAGAUCAAGUUUAGUAUCUGUUUUUAUGAUUUUAAUAUCUUACCUGUUCUUUAUUGGAGGACAACAUGUUAAAUUAAUUUUUGGAGCAGGGUAUUGGAAUUGGGGCUUGCUCCGUCCACUCCAUGAAUCAACCUGGUAUUACAGUAUCUCCAGGAAUGGUGCCAAAAAA